GACGAACGCUGGCGGCGUGCUUAACACAUGCAAGUCGAACGGAAAGGCCUCUUUCGGGGGGUACUCGAGUGGCGAACGGGUGAGUAACACGUGAGUAACCUGCCCUUGACUUUGGGAUAACUUCAGGAAACUGGGGCUAAUACCGGAUAGGAGCUCCUGCUGCAUGGUGGGGGUUGGAAAGUUUCGGCGGUUGGGGAUGGACUCGCGGCUUAUCAGCUUGUUGGUGGGGUAGUGGCUUACCAAGGCUUUGACGGGUAGCCGGCCUGAGAGGGUGACCGGCCACAUUGGGACUGAGAUACGGCCCAGACUCCUACGGGAGGCAGCAGUGGGGAAUAUUGCACAAUGGGUGGAAGCCUGAUGCAGCAUCGCCGUGUGCGGGAUGACGGCCUUCGGGUUGUAAACCGCUUUCGCUCAUGACGAAGCUUUGUGUGACGGUAGUGGGUAAAGAAGCACCGGCUAACUACGUG
RNAcentral lists this ribosomal RNA (467 nucleotides) under uncultured bacterium. Its description in RNAcentral is "partial 16S ribosomal RNA". It matches the Rfam family "Bacterial small subunit ribosomal RNA", at positions 28 to 507 of the family's 1533-position model. The record is from RNAcentral.